Molecule: small nucleolar RNA, 84 nt
Filed under: Musca domestica (house fly)
Lineage: Eukaryota; Metazoa; Arthropoda; Insecta; Diptera; Muscidae
Description: Small nucleolar RNA Me28S-Gm1083
Rfam family: Small nucleolar RNA Me28S-Gm1083
About the family: Me28S-Gm1083 is a member of the C/D class of snoRNA which contain the C (UGAUGA) and D (CUGA) box motifs. This family directs 2'-O-methylation of 28S G-1083.
Source: Rfam by way of RNAcentral
UAAGAAAUGAUGAUAAAUUAUCUUUCGCCCCUAACUGAAAGUUUUGGAAACUUCGUAUGUUGAAUGCGAAUUGGUCUUACUGAA